RNAcentral lists this ribosomal RNA (158 nucleotides) under Ascomycota sp. Js_6835. RNAcentral's name for it is "5.8S ribosomal RNA". Lineage: Eukaryota; Fungi; Ascomycota. The record is from RNAcentral.
ACUACAAGACAUUACUUGCUUCUUUAUCGAACCGAAACGCGGCGUCUUGCGGUAAUGAGUGUGGAUUGGAAAAUUCACAGAAUCUGCGAAUCUAUGAACUCAUCUUGUACCCCUUGAUUUACCCUGGUGCUGGCCUGGUUGAGCGUCAUUUGUACCUU